Molecule: ribosomal RNA, 515 nt
Filed under: uncultured bacterium
Lineage: Bacteria
Description: partial 16S ribosomal RNA
Rfam family: Bacterial small subunit ribosomal RNA
Source: RNAcentral
GAUGAACGCUGGCGGCGUGCCUAGUACAUGCAAGUCGAGCGAAUGGAUUAAGAGCUUGCUCUUAUGAAGUUAGCGGCGGACGGGUGAGUAACACGUGGGUAACCUGCCCAUAAGACUGGGAUAACUCCGGGAAACCGGGGCUAAUACCGGAUAACAUUUUGAACCGCAUGGUUCGAAAUUGAAAGGCGGCUUCGGCUGUCACUUAUGGAUGGACCCGCGUCGCAUUAGCUAGUUGGUGAGGUAACGGCUCACCAAGGCAACGAUGUGUAGCCGACCUGAGAGGGUGAGCGGCCACACUGGGACUGAGACACGGCCCAGACUCCGACGGGAGGCAGCAGUAGGGAAUCUUCCGCAAUGGACGAAAGUCUGACGGAGCAACGCCGCGUGAGUGAUGAAGGCUUUCGGGUCGUAAAACUCUGUUGUUAGGGAAGAACAAGUGCUAGUGGAAUAAGCUGGCACCUUGACGGUACCUAACCAGAAAGCCACGGCUAACUACGUGCCAGCCGCCGCCGUAA